Molecule: ribosomal RNA, 497 nt
Filed under: uncultured bacterium
Lineage: Bacteria
Description: partial 16S ribosomal RNA
Rfam family: Bacterial small subunit ribosomal RNA
Source: RNAcentral
GAUGAACGCUGGCGGCGUGCCUAAUACAUGCAAGUCGAGCGAACAGACGAGGAGCUUGCUCCUCUGACGUUAGCUGCGGACGGGUGAGUAACACGUGGAUAACCUACCUAUAAGACUGGGAUAACUUCGGGAAACCGGAGCUAAUACCGGAUAAUAUAUUGAACCGCAUGGUUCAAUAGUGAAAGACGGUUUUGCUGUCACUUAUAGAUGGAUCCGCGCCGCAUUAGCUAGUUGGUAAGGUAACGGCUUACCAAGGCAACGAUGCGUAGCCGACCUGAGAGGGUGAUCGGCAACACUGGAACUGAGACACGGUCCAGACUCCUACGGGAGGCAGCAGUAGGGAAUCUUCCGCAAUGGGCGAAAGCCUGACGGAGCAACGCCGCGUGAGUGAUGAAGGUCUUCGGAUCGUAAAACUCUGUUAUUAGGGAAGAACAAAUGUGUAAGUAACUAUGCACGUCUUGACGGUACCUAAUCAGAAAGCCACGGCUAACUACGUG